RNAcentral lists this ribosomal RNA (750 nucleotides) under Penicillium freii. RNAcentral describes it as "mitochondrial SSU rRNA". It matches the Rfam family "Bacterial small subunit ribosomal RNA", at positions 374 to 1201 of the family's 1533-position model. The record is from RNAcentral. Lineage: Eukaryota; Fungi; Ascomycota; Eurotiomycetes; Eurotiales; Aspergillaceae.
GCCGAAAGGCUGAACCAGUAACUUGGAAGAAUGAUAAUGUUAACUUUAUAUAAGUGCAUUCGCGAUUAACUCGCAUAAAAUUCUAAAUAGAUUAGAUAUAAUGACAUAAUCUAUUUAUAAGUCUUGACCAAACUACGUGCCAGCAGUCGCGGUAAUACGUAGGAGGCUAGUGUUAGUUAUCUUUAUUGGGUUUAAAGGGUAAGUAGACGGUAAAUUAAACUCUAAACGAGUACUUUUUUACUAGAGUUAUAUGAGAGAAGGAAGAAUUUCUGGAGUAGAGAUAAAAUUUGAUGAUACCAGGAGGACUGUCAACGGCGAAGGCGUCCUUCUAUGUAAUAACUGACGUUGAGAGACGAAGGCUUGGGUAGCAAACAGGAUUAGAUACCCUAAUAGUCCAAGCAGACAAUGAUGAAUGUCAUACAUUAGAUAUAUAUUUAAUGUAUAAACGAAAGUGUAAGCAUUCCACCUCAAGAGUACUAUGGCAACAUAUAAACUGAAAUCAUUAGACCGUUUCUAAAACCAGUAGUGAAGUAUGUUAUUUAAUUCGAUGAUCCGCGAAAAACCUUACCACAGCUUGUAUAGCAUAUUAUAAAAAAUUGUUACAAGCGCUGCAUGGCUGUCUUUAGUUAAUGUCGUGAGAUUUGGUUAAUUCCUUUAAUUAACGAAAACCCUCACUUUAUUUGUUUAUAUAAAGUGGUUCGCUACUACAUCGGACCAGAUAAAAGGGAUUAAGACAAGUCAUUAUGGCCU